GAUCCUGGCUCAGGAUGAACGCUAGCUACAGGCUUAACACAUGCAAGUCGCGGGGCAGCACUGUGGUUGCUUGCAACCACUGGUGGCGACCGGCGCACGGGUGAGUAACGCGUAUCCAACCUGCCCUGCAGUGGGGAACAGCCCGGCGAAAGUCGGAUUAAUGCCCCCAUGGCGUCCUCGGCGGGCAUCUAAUGAGGACUAAAGGCUUCGGCCGCUGCGGGAUGGGGGAUGCGUAGGAUUAGGCAGGCGGCGGGGCGACGGCCCACCGCGCCGACGAUCCUUAGGGGUUCUGAGAGGAAGGUCCCCCACACUGGUACUGAGACACGGACCAGACUCCUACGGGAGGCAGCAGUGAGGAAUAUUGGUCAAUGGGCGCGAGCCUGAACCAGCCAAGUAGCCGUGCAGGAAGACGGCCCUACGGGUUGUAAACUGCUUUUAUGCGGGGAUAAAGUGGGCUACGCGUAGCCCUUUGCAGGUACCGCAUGAAUAAGGACCGGCUAAUUCCGUGCCAGCCGCGGC
Molecule: ribosomal RNA, 519 nt
Filed under: uncultured bacterium
Lineage: Bacteria
Description: bacterial SSU rRNA
Rfam family: Bacterial small subunit ribosomal RNA
Source: RNAcentral